Molecule: unclassified non-coding RNA, 221 nt
Filed under: Hevea brasiliensis (rubber tree)
Lineage: Eukaryota; Viridiplantae; Streptophyta; Magnoliopsida; Malpighiales; Euphorbiaceae
Source: RNAcentral
AAGACAAAAAUGCCAUCCCUGCAGAUAGCUGGUAUCUGCUACAGAACCUGGGAGGGCAGUAAGACCCGUCAUCAUGGAGUAGAUCUAUAACACUGGCAGUCGAACAAGCUGCUGCCAACGAAAGUAUAGAUAGCACCCAAUCACCCACAACUACGAUCACCAUAACACCAGGAAGCCGUAGAGGGCAUCCAACAAUGAUAGAGUAUAUAUCUACAAUUCCA